GCCUAUUUUUUUAUUAUUAUUAUUAUUCUUUUUUAAUGGAUAGAGAUUUUAUUUGUUUCUAAGCCUGGGCUGCAUUUCUACAGGGGACCUAUCCCAUGCCUCUGAGGAUGUCUGUGAGCCAGAGGCGACCUCCCCGGGGCUGGCGAGGAACCCGGCACCAGGACGAGGGGAAGUGGGCGGCCCUUCCCACAUUCCAGUUGGCAUAGGGUUCCUGUUCUGCAUCGAGGGGCUGGAUGGGUGAGAGCAACCGAAGCCUGGGCUAGCGCAGGAGAUAGACAAGAGCUCCGCCCUCCAUCCAUUUCUCUGAACGUUCUAGGUCUUGAUUUUCACCACUCGCGGGGUAAUAUUUCCACCCAAAAUCUAGCAACGAUCCCGUCCAUGAAAACAGCUGAAAAUCUCCCCUUUGAAAGAACACGUCCAGGAGGCUUUCCAUCCCUUAACUAAGCUUGUGCCCGCUUUGCCUACCCCCCCUGGCGAUGUGGGGCAGGGCGCAUCCGCCGGCGACCACUUGGCCUGAUUUCCCGGCCCCCGGGAGGACUUCUGAACCAGGAUUUGUGACGUGCCGCUAGGAGAAGGGGCACAUGAUGGGGAGGGGAACUCUCCGAGCACAUUCCCCAAACUGCAAAUCUGCCCAGGGACGGCUGGGCGCCUGGGUUGAGGAGAAGGGCCCGCAGUCUUAUUGGUCUCUGCAGACAGAAGCGAGGGGGAAGAACUCAUCACGAGUUACAAGGGCGGAAAACAGCCGCCCCAGGUCUCCCCACAGCUCCCCGGACGCCCCGCGCUAGGCCUCGGGCCCCAACGCCUGGGAAUGGUCGGCGGUGCUUGGGCCCCGCCCGGGGGCGAGGGGCAGCGGCCCGGCCCCAGGCCUCAUCUCCGCACCGGGAGCUCGGGCUCACACUGUAGAAUGAAGUGCCCUGUAGAAUAUUCGAUCCCCACGGCCAGCUAGGGACCCCGCCACAGUGGAGCGCCUCGCCACCUCCAUCCGCCCUCCUGUGGUCCGGGACUAGGUGCAGUUACAGGACCCGCCUAAGAAGAGCACUAGAAGGACGCAGUGGGUGGAUGUCCGAGUUCGAGCGGCUGGAUGUCGCGCGGUGGCAACAAGUAGCUCGGAAAAGGGGUAUUGAGAGUCCACUGCGAGCUGCUUCCUGCUUGCGGCCAAUGGGGACGUGCGGCAGAGCAGUUAGAAACAAGAAGGGAGAAGACUAAAGAGAGACUCCUUACUUCUGGCAACGAGAUACACAAAAGGGGUUGCGAACAUCCAAAAGGGUCUUGCUCCAGGUAGCAAGUAUGAAUUCCUCCAUGACAUCUGGGCUACAAGAAAUGCCAAGCUUGGCCACUGCUCACAGUACCCGGGACUCAUAAGAAUCCAUGCAUGCCUUCUCCCAUCUAAGACAUGCGGGAUCCAUGCCAGGAAGAAUGAGGCACAUGCCAGAGGAUAUGGGGGCUGGGAGGAGGGCACUAACCCAGAGUGAUUUGAAAUGAGGUAGCAUUCAAUGGCCCCUGGCAAAAAAGAGAAAGAAGACGAGGGAGCUGAAAAAUGUCUUCAUGGAGAAAGGAGGGAGGGAAGACAGGGAGGGAGGGGUGGUCCAACUGGCCCUGGAGCAGGGGAAAAUGGAAAUGUAGCAGAUAUAUAAGCUAAACUGAAAUCUCAGCACAGAGCUGGCCUAUGAAUUUCUCCCAGAGGGACCUUCUGCCUGUGGGGUAAAAGGGAGCAUAAACUUCCAGUUCUGUUUGCAGAGAGCCCUGAGGAACUGACACUGACCACAGCCAGAUGAGAGGCCUUCUCCUCAGCUGCCAAAUUCUGCUCUGCACUGCCCAACAGUGUCUUAGCUAGGGUAGCUGGCUCCAUCCCAGGGCCAACAGCCAAUUUCGAUUACAUUAAGGAGGCAGUGUAUUGGGGGACCAACAAGUUUUAUUGUUUGAUACCCUGAUCUUAGAACCUAACCCUCCCAGAGGUGCAAAUCACAACCAUAAACAAAUGUAUCGUAAUAGAGAAUUAAGCUUAUAAAGAUACAUCAGUCAGGGGACAGAAACUAUACCAAUUAUUUAACAGAGACAAUGUAAUACAGAGAACUGUUAACUAGGUUUAUGGUUAUUAACUAGAUAACUGAAAAGUCAAAAAAACAAAUCUGCAGUAUCACUUAAGUUAGUAACUGCAAGAAGCAGCUACCCACUCGGGCUGAGAGAACAAAGGAAGAAGUUGAACCACUAAAGCUUAGAAGUUGGAGGAAGAGCCCUCUGCAUAAUUGAAACUCAGACUUCUGAGGAAAGGCUCCAGCAUCUGCACUGGCAUCUCUGCUGUGGUCACUUUAAAGCUGGUUCUGCAGGUAUUGGGAAAACCACAGGGUGGGUUUGGAAACUGCUAAGGGAGCCAGGGCUUAGUGGCUCACGCCUGUAAUCCCAACACUUUGAGAAGCCAAGGUGGGAAGAUCGCUUGAGCCAAGGACUUUGAGAGCAGCUUGGGCAGCAUAUCGAGGACCUAUCUCUACAAAAAAUUUAAAAAUGAAUCCAGUGUGGUGAUGCGCACCUGUAGUCCCAGCUGCUUGGGAGGCUGAGGCAGGAGGAUCACUUGAGCUCAGGAGUUCAGGGUUGCAGUGAGCUGUCAUCACACCACUGCACUCCAGCCUGGAGCAACAGAGUGAGACAGCUCCAGAGUGAGACCCCCGUCCCUACCACUACUACUGCUAAUAAUAAUAAUAGUGCCAAGCUUGUGAAACCGGGUCCAAAUGGAAAGUGAUAAGUACUCAACUAUCUCCCUCAGUGGGUGUGAAUAAGGACACUUCCAGCCUCAUCCCUUGGCCACUCAAGGAACCAGCCUCGGGAUGAAGCUAAUGCUAUGGGUAGCAGAUGGGAGGGAUGGAAAGAACCAGGGUCCAUGAUGGCGAUGCUGAGUCACGGGCUCACUCUCCUCUGGGUAUCCAGUUGUGUAAGCCUUCUGUCUUUCUGUUGAUUACAGCAUUGUUUAACUAAGGCCUCUGCUACUUUGCAGCCACAAGCAUCUUGAUAGAUUAGGAAAGCAAAAAAGAGGAUAAAAAAGAAACCAGGAAAAGGGAUGUGUGGUAGAUGAAAUAAUCCUUCUUGGUUCUUUUCAAAAAUCUCCUGUCCUGAUCCCCGGAAUCUGAGUAUGUCACCUUACAAAACAAAAGGGGAUGUUGCAGAUGUGAUUAAGUAGUUCGAUGAAGAGAUUAUCCUGGAUUAUCUGGGUAGGCCCAAUGUAAUCACAAGGAUUAGUUACAGAGGAAAUGUGACAACAAAAAAAGAGAAUGAAAUGAUGUGUUUUAAUGAAGAAGGAAGGCACCCUGUGAGCCAAGGAAUGCAGGUGGCUUCUAGAAGGUGGAAAAGGCAAGAGAACAGAUUUUCUUCUAGAGUUCUCAGAAAUAAUGCAGCUCUGACAAUACCUUGAUUUAGCCUAUAAGACCCAUUCAGACUUCUGACCUUCAAAACUAUAAGACAAUACAUUUGUGUUGUUUUAAGGCACUAAGUUUGUGAUUUUUUUCAAUUUAUUUUAUUUUAUUUUUUCGUAAAGACAGCAUCUGGCUAUAUAGCCCAGGCUGGUCUCAAAUUCCAGGCCUCAAGCCAUCCUUCCUCCCUGGCCUCCCGAAGUGCUGGGAUUAUAGGUUUGAGCCACCAUGCUGGGCCUGUGGUAAUUUAUUAUAGCAGCUAUAGGAAACUCACACAACAUGGUAGUUACAAAACCAAAAGAAGAUGCUACGAAUAAGUACAAAUGUAGCAAUAAUUAAAUAGAUAUGAAAGAGUUGAAUCCAAUGACUACUAAACACGUAACUAACAGAUUGGAUUUUUUUUAAACUCCAGGUAGGUGCCCUUCAUGAAAGAUAUAUCUAAAACAAAAUGAUGCAGGGAAACCAUAUACCUGUUGUCUCAGUUAUCUACUGCAGUAUAACAAACCACCCUCAAAACUUAAUGACUUAGUGCCGGGCACGUGGCUCAUGCCUAUAAUCCCAGCACUUUGGGAGGCCGAGGCGGGUGGAUCUCUUGAGGUCAGGCGUUCGAGACCAGCCUGGCCAACAUGGUGACAUCCUGUCUCUACUAAAAAUACAAAGUUAGCCGGGCAUGGUGUCACGCGCCUGUAAUCCCAGUUACUUGGGAGGCUGAGGCAGUAGAAUCAUUUGAACCCGGGAGGUGGUGGUUGCAGUGAGCCAAGAUUGUGCCACUGCACUUCAGCCUGGGCGACAGAGUGAGACUGUCUCAAAAAACAAAACCAAACCAAACCUUAAUGACUUAGGAAGGUGGCUUUAGUGGCCGCAUGAAGCACACCCUGAUUGCCGAGGAACAAGAGUGCAAAGCUAAGAAACUGAGGCAUUUUGAAGAGUUUGAAGACACUUGGCUUCCUUAUCUGACCCCCAAAGAUGAAUUCUAUCAGCCGUGGCAGCUGAAAUAUCCUAAAUUAAUUCUCCAAGAAGCCAGCAGUGUAUCUGGGGAGCUCCAUAAAGAGGCUCAAGAGGCCGGGCGCAGUGGCUCACGCCUGUAAUCCCAGCACUUUGGGAGGCCGAGGCAGGAGGAUCACGAGGUCAGGAGAUCGAGACCAUCCUGGCUAACACGGUGAAACCACAUCUCUACUAAAAAUAUUUUUAAAAAUUAGCCGGGCGUAGUGGUGGAUGCCUGUAGUCCCAGCUACUCGGGAGGCUGAGGCAGGAGAAUGGCGUGAACCUGGGAGGCAGAGCUUGCAGUGAGCUAAGAUCGAGCCACUGCACUCUAGCCUGGGAGACAAAGUGAGACUCCGUCUCAAAAAAAAAAAAAAAAAAAAAAA
This 4768-nucleotide long non-coding RNA is filed under the name Homo sapiens (human). RNAcentral's name for it is "HSALNT0302031". The record is from RNAcentral. Lineage: Eukaryota; Metazoa; Chordata; Mammalia; Primates; Hominidae.